This 440-nucleotide ribosomal RNA is filed under the name uncultured bacterium. RNAcentral's name for it is "partial 16S ribosomal RNA". It matches the Rfam family "Bacterial small subunit ribosomal RNA", at positions 338 to 795 of the family's 1533-position model. The record is from RNAcentral.
CCUACGGGAGGCAGCAGUGGGGGAUAUUGCACAAUGGGGGAAACCCUGAUGCAGCGACGCCGCGUGGGCGAAGAAGUAUUUCGGUAUGUAAAGCCCUAUCAGCAGGGAAGAAAAUGACGGUACCUAAGUAAGAAGCCCCGGCUAACUACGUGCCAGCAGCCGCGGUAAUACGUAGGGGGCAAGCGUUAUGCGGAUUUACUGGGUGUAAAGGGGGCGUAGACGGCAGUGCAAGACUGGAGUGAAAGGCGGGGGCUCAACCCCCGGACUGCUCUGGAAACUGUACGGCUGGAGUGCAGGAGAGGUAAGUGGAAUUCCUAGUGUAGCGGUGAAAUGCGUAGAUAUUAGGAGGAACACCAGUGGCGAAGGCGGCUUACUGGACUGUAACUGACGUUGAGGCUCGAAAGCGUGGGGAGCAAACAGGAUUAGAUACCCUUGUAGUC